AUAAAGCUGGCCACACCUCGAAAGGCUGCCCGAAUCUAUUCAGUGAAUUGACGGAAGAUGGAAAGCUGCAUGGCAAUACAUUCUGGAAGCUGUGACAUGCGAUGAAAACGAACUGUUUAAGGGCAUCAUCUGUGGGGAACGCUUUAACAAUUUUGUUAAAGUUGUCCUUCAGGUUACAGGAAAAGAUGUACCUCAAUACAUAACACCAUUCGAAGAAGCCGGCCUGCGUCAACUACUACUUCAAAACAUUAAAAAUUCUGGCUACAGAAAACCAACACCUAUUCAGAAAGCUUCAGUUGCAGGCGGCGUACUUGGUACCGGUUUUGAACAUAUUGUUAGAACAAGGUGUUGCUGCUGCGUCUCGUGCCAUGGGGCAAAAGCCAGAAGUUGUAAUUGUCGCACCCACUCGUGAAUUGGCCAUUCAAAUUCACCGCGAGGCGUGUAAAUUCUCCUACAGUUCGGUUUUAAAGUUUGUGAUUAUAUAUGGAGGAACUGUCACGAGCCAUCAGCGGUCAAAUCUUCAAGCUGGGUGCAAUAUUCUUGUCGCGACUGCGGGGCGAUUCAAGGAUUUUCUCGACGGUGGAGUAUUUGACAUCUCAGGGGUGAGGUUUUAAAUUUUGGACGAAGCUGAUCGAAUGCUUGAUAUGGGUUUCGGCCCGAAUGUUGACAAAAUUGUCAACCAUCCAACGGUGAAUCCGAAAAUAUGUUCUCGAUUGCUUUUGAGUAUGAAAUUCGACUGAUGUAAUACUAUUUGUUUCUCUGUAGGGAAUCCGUCGUGUUGUAUAUUUUCGGCUACAUUCCCAGAUGAAGUAGAAGCGCUGGCUGCGACGUACAUGGAAGACUACAUAUUCGUCACAACAGGCAUUGUCGGUGGCACCAAUCCGGAUGUUGAACAGUGGUUUUUUCAGUGCUCGAAAAGAGAUAAGAGAGUUAAGCUGAUCGAAGUUUUACACGAUCUCGGUGAUGCCAAGACUAUCGUUUUUGUCGACAGCAAAAAGACGGCGGAUUUCGCCGCUGCAUUCUCGUGCAAUAACAACUUACAAUCUACCAGCAUCCAUGGUGAGCGUAAACGAAAAUCGUAAAUGUCUCUUCCGAAGCGUCUGUCAGAAGAAUAUGCUAGCAAUCAACUCACGAAUCAUGUAAGAUGAACAAUAAAAGCCGAUGUCGAGGUGACAAAGAAAACAACACGUCAAGGUGCUGUCAAACGUGUCUCCGUUCCGGAGAAGGAAGCGCCGGAAGGCAAAAGGCGUCGUGGUGAAACGAAAGCCAAUAAAUACGUUGCUGGAUUGGAUGAUGUAGAAAUGUUACACGAAGACAAAGGACACGCUGCCGACAUCCACGCCAAUCACGGGCCAGAUGAGCCAGAGGCGAACAAUGGAUCGCCAGUCACAUCCGUCAAAAGUGGACGAUCUACUCGCGCAAAGGGCGCACUCAAAGUUCAUUUUGACGUGGCCGAAACGGCGCAUCCGCCAGUCAGAUCCACCCGUUCGGCGCGGAAGACGGCUUCACCGGCCGAGAAGAAAGUCUCUGUCCAGCUGGAACGCGACCCCGACAUUGAGACUUUGGCCACUACAGCCAAAGAAGAGGAAGAGAAAGCACCGGCCGCCAAACGUUCACGACAAAAGAAGGGCCCGACAGUAUCUGCCGCAACAAUGGCGGAUGAACCUCCGGCCGUGCCGGCCACGAAACGGACACGUGAUGGCAAGAAAACAACUAGCGAACCUGAGCUUGUUAAGGAGGAUACCUCAUCGCCACCACCACCACCUCGACGUACUCGACGUACUAGAAACAUCUAACAGCAAGACCCAUCAAUGAAUUACCUAUUUUGUUUUUCUUUUGUUUUACCCAUAAUUUUUUACCCAUUGAAUAAUUUGUUCACAUAUCAGAUUCUAUUCUGCUUUUGGGUUCACUUCUGUACCUCUUUCCCCAAGUUGACCUCAUUACGUGUUCCUAUCCAUGCGUUGAGGCUCACUUGAUUAUAAUUUUUUGUUCUUUAAAUUUUGUGUCCAAUUUUCAUUCUGACCGACGCCCAAAUAAUUUUGAAGAAAUACAGAUUUUGGUACGGUUGGUUAAGUAUUUCACAAUUUGCACGGAUUGUGUGUGUGUGUGUUACUGAUGUUGGUGGACCUA
Daphnia carinata is the source of this 2130-nucleotide RNA transcript. RefSeq lists it as uncharacterized. The record is from RefSeq and is a predicted model, not a curated record. The transcript is spliced from 5 exons. Lineage: Eukaryota; Metazoa; Arthropoda; Branchiopoda; Diplostraca; Daphniidae.